GAUGAAGACUGGUGCUUGCACUGGUUGGAUUAGUGGCGAACGGGUGAGUAAUACGUGAGUAACCUGCCUUUGACUCUGGGAUAAGCCUGGGAAACUGGGUCUAAUACCGGAUAUGACAAGGAACCGCAUGGUUUUUUGUGGAAAGGGUUUGUACUGGUUUUAGAUGGGCUCACGGCCUAUCAGCUUGUUGGUGGGGUAAUGGCUCACCAAGGCGACGACGGGUAGCCGGCCUGAGAGGGUGACCGGCCACACUGGGACUGAGACACGGCCCAGACUCCUACGGGAGGCAGCAGUGGGGAAUAUUGCACAAUGGGCGCAAGCCUGAUGCAGCGACGCCGCGUGAGGGAUGACGGCCUUCGGGUUGUAAACCUCUUUCAGCAGGGAAGAAGCGAAAGUGACGGUACCUGCAGAAGAAGCGCCGGCUAACUACGUGCCAGCAGCCGCGGUAAUACGUAGGGCGCGAGCGUUGUCCGGGAAUUAUUGGGCGUAAAGAGCUUGUAGGCGGUUUGUUGCGUCUGCUGUGAAAGACCGGGGCUUAACCCCGGUAUUGCAGUGGGUACGGGCAGACUAGAGUGCAGUAGGGGAGACUGGAAUUCCUGGUGUAGCGGUGAAAUGCGCAGAUAUCAGGAGGAACACCGAUGGCGAAGGCAGGUCUCUGGGCUGUAACUGACGCUGAGAAGCGAAAGCAUGGGGAGCGAACAGGAUUAGAUACCCUGGUAGUCCAUGCCGUAAACGUUGGGCACUAGGUGUGGGGGACAUUCCACGUUUUCCGCGCCGUAGCUAACGCAUUAAGUGCCCCGCCUGGGGAGUACGGCCGCAAGGCUAAAACUCAAAGGAAUUGACGGGGGCCCGCACAAGCGGCGGAGCAUGCGGAUUAAUUCGAUGCAACGCGAAGAACCUUACCAAGGCUUGACAUAUACUGGACCGCCUCAGAGAUGGGGUUUCCCUUCGGGGCUGGUAUACAGGUGGUGCAUGGUUGUCGUCAGCUCGUGUCGUGAGAUGUUGGGUUAAGUCCCGCAACGAGCGCAACCCUCGUUCUAUGUUGCCAGCACGUUAUGGUGGGGACUCAUAGGAGACUGCCGGGGUCAACUCGGAGGAAGGUGGGGAUGACGUCAAAUCAUCAUGCCCCUUAUGUCUUGGGCUUCACGCAUGCUACAAUGGCCGGUACAAAGGGUUGCGAUACUGUGAGGUUGAGCUAAUCCCAAAAAGCCGGUCUCAGUUCGGAUUGGGGUCUGCAACUCGACCCCAUGAAGUCGGAGUCGCUAGUAAUCGCAGAUCAGCAACGCUGCGGUGAAUACGUUCCCGGGCCUUGUACACACCGCCCGUCAAGUCACGAAAGUUGGUAACACCCGAAGCCGAUGGCCUAACCCUU
Molecule: ribosomal RNA, 1372 nt
Filed under: Rothia amarae
Lineage: Bacteria; Bacillati; Actinomycetota; Actinomycetes; Micrococcales; Micrococcaceae
Description: bacterial SSU rRNA
Rfam family: Bacterial small subunit ribosomal RNA
Source: RNAcentral